AUUGAACGCUGGCGGCAUGCCUAACACAUGCAAGUCGAACGGGGCAGCAAUGCCUAGUGGCGGACGGGUGAGGAAUACGUAGGAAUCUGCCCUUAAGUGGGGGAUAACCAGGGGAAACCCUGACUAAUACCGCAUGAUCUCUUCGGAGCAAAGAGGGGGACCGCAAGGCCUCUCGCUUCUGGAUGAGCCUACGUCUGAUUAGCUAGUUGGUAGGGUAAAGGCCUACCAAGGCGACGAUCAGUAACUGGUCUGAGAGGAUGAUCAGCCACACCGGAACUGAGACACGGUCCGGACUCCUACGGGAGGCAGCAGUGGGGAAUAUUGGACAAUGGGCGCAAGCCUGAUCCAGCCAUGCCGCGUGAGUGAUGAAGGCCUUAGGAUUGUAAAGCUCUUUCACCGGUGAAGAUAAUGACGGUAACCGGAGAAGAAGCCCCGGCUAACUUCGUGCCAGCCGCCGCGGUAA
This 463-nucleotide ribosomal RNA is filed under the name uncultured bacterium. RNAcentral's name for it is "partial 16S ribosomal RNA". It matches the Rfam family "Bacterial small subunit ribosomal RNA", at positions 30 to 523 of the family's 1533-position model. The record is from RNAcentral.